This 1292-nucleotide ribosomal RNA is filed under the name Periplaneta americana (American cockroach). RNAcentral describes it as "large subunit ribosomal RNA". The stretch from base 1044 to 1204 matches the Rfam family "Archaeal large subunit ribosomal RNA", at positions 2542 to 2701 of the family's 2987-position model. The record is from RNAcentral. Lineage: Eukaryota; Metazoa; Arthropoda; Insecta; Blattodea; Blattidae.
GUUGUUAUAUAAAUUAUUUUUUUUUUUGUGUUUUAUAUUUGUAUUAAAAUUAAUUUAUUGUUUUUGUAUAUGUUGAUUGAUUAAAUUUUUUUAAUUAUAGUUUAUUUUUACUGUAAAGGUUAUAUUAUUAAUUUAUAGAAGUAAAUUUUUGUUGUACCUUGUGUAUCAGGGUUUAUUAAAUUAUAUUAUAAAUUUUUUGUUUCCCGAUUUUGAAGGAUCUAAUUAAUUAUUUUAGUUACUGUUUUAUAAUUAUUAAUAAUUAUUAUUUGGUAGUGAAAUGUUAUUCGGCUUCAAUGGUUUCUGGUUUUUCAGGAAAUGAAUUUAAUUCAUAUAUUAUUAUUAUAUUUCUAUCUUUUUAGUUUUUAUUUUAUUAAUAUCAAUGUUGUGGGGGAUAAGCUCUUUAACAUAUUUUUAUAAUUUUUUUAUUUAUUAAAUAAUGUUGGUUUUAUAAUAACUAUCAUUUUAAGUUUGUUAAAAUUUUAUUUUUUAGGAUUUUGAUUUAUUAAUAUUUAAUUAUUUUACUGAAAUUUUUUAUUAAAUUAUUGUUUAUUUGUAAUUAUGAUGGAAUUAGUAAUUUUCUAUUUAUACUGUUAAAUCUUUGUUAAGAUUUUAAAAGGAACUAGGCAAAUAAAAGUGUUCUCGCAUGUUUAUCAAAAACAUCUUUUCUUGAAUUUUAAUAUGAGAUAUGACCUGCCCACUGAUAGAUUUGAAGGGCCGCGGUAUUUUGACCGUGCAAAGGUAGCAUAAUCAUUAGUCUUUUAAUUGUGGACUGGAAUGAAUGGUUGGACGAGGAAUAUACUGUUUCUUAUUAUUUUAUUGAAUUUAAUUUUUAAGUUAAAAAGCUUAAAUUUAUUUAUAGGACGAGAAGACCCUAUAGAGUUUAUAUACAUUAUUCUAUUUAUUUUGUUUGUUUAUUUUAUUUAGUAUUUAAUAUAUUUUAUUGGGGUGAUUGGAAGAAUUAAUUAACUCUUUUUGUUUAAAUAUACAUUGAUUUAUGAAUACUUGAUCCAAUUUUGUUGAUUAUAAGAUUAAAUUACCUUAGGGAUAACAGCGUAAUCUUUUUUGAGAGUUCUUAUUGAUAAAUGGGUUUGCGACCUCGAUGUUGGAUUAAGGUUUAAUUUGGGUGUAGAAUUUCAAUUUGUUUAGGUCUGUUCGACCUUUAAAAUCUUACAUGAUCUGAGUUCAGACCGGCGAGAGCCAGGUCGGUUUCUAUCUAUAAUAAAUUUUAUAUCUUAGUACGAGAGGACCAGGUAUCUGGAAUAAUUUUUUAUUUAUGAUUUUUAUUAAUUGUU